This 67-nucleotide transfer RNA is filed under the name Tessaratoma papillosa. Its description in RNAcentral is "tRNA-Val". Lineage: Eukaryota; Metazoa; Arthropoda; Insecta; Hemiptera; Tessaratomidae. The record is from RNAcentral.
CAAAUUAUGCCUAGGGCUAAAUAUUAUUUACAUUAAUGUUUUAUUUGUGCGAUUCAAAUUAAUUUGA